GUCGUAACAAGGUUUCCGUAGGUGAACCUGCGGAAGGAUCAUUAUUGAAUUAAAACACCCUGGGUUGUUGCUGGCUCCUUGGAGCAUGUGCACGCUUGGGGUAACCCAUCUUUAACCACCUGUGCACUUUUCUUUGUAGGCCUGGGUAAUUAACUUUCAAGGGUUAAAACAACCCUCGGUUUGAGGACUUGCUUGUUGGCUGCAGCCAGCUCUCCUUGCGUUAUUAUUAUCCAUGUUCUAUGAUAUCUUUACACAUACACUGCAUGAAUGUCUAGAAUGUUUAUUAUAUUAUAGGACACUGUCCUUGUAAAUCUAAUACAACUUUCAACAACGGAUCUCUUGGCUCUCGCAUCGAUGAAGAACGCAGCGAAAUGCGAUAAGUAAUGUGAAUUGCAGAAUUCAGUGAAUCAUCGAAUCUUUGAACGCACCUUGCGCUCCUUGGUAUUCCGAGGAGCAUGCCUGUUUGAGUGUCAUUAAAUUCUCAACCUUCUCAGUUUUUGUUAGCUGGGUUUUUAAGGCUUGGAUUAUGGGGGUUGCAGGCUUUCCAAGAAGUCAGCUCCCCUUAAAUGUAUUAGCAAAACAACUGUUGCUUGACCAUCCCUGGUGUGAUAAUUAUCAACGCCAUUGAGAAACAUCAACACUUUGCUUCUAAUAGUCUUAUUAUUGAGACAACUUACUUGACAAUUUGACCUCAAAUCAGGUAGGACUACCCGCUGAACUUAG
Molecule: ribosomal RNA, 723 nt
Filed under: Clitocybe rhizophora
Lineage: Eukaryota; Fungi; Basidiomycota; Agaricomycetes; Agaricales; Clitocybaceae
Description: eukaryotic LSU rRNA
Rfam family: 5.8S ribosomal RNA (bases 320-473)
Source: RNAcentral